AUGGCCCUACGGGGCGCAGCAGUGGGGAAUAUUGGGCAAUGGGCGCAAGCCUGACCCAGCAACGCCGCGUGAAGGAAGAAGGCUUUCGGGUUGUAAACUUCUUUUAAGAGGGAAGAGCAGAAGACGGUACCUCUUGAAUAAGCCACGGCUAACUACGAGCCAGCAGCCGCGGUAAUACGUAGGGGGCAAGCGUUGUCCGGAUUUACUGGGUGUAAAGGGCGUGCAACCGGGAAGACAAGUCAGAUGUGAAAUCCUGCGUCUCAACCGCGGAACUGCAUUUGAAACUGUUAUUAUUGAGUACAGGG
Molecule: ribosomal RNA, 305 nt
Filed under: uncultured bacterium
Lineage: Bacteria
Description: bacterial SSU rRNA
Rfam family: Bacterial small subunit ribosomal RNA
Source: RNAcentral